UCUCGUGAGCACUCAGCCCUUGCGCGAGGAGAAAACGACGAGCUCAUAGCGCUUCUGGAUCUCCAACGUCGAGGCAGCUCUCAGAACCGCUCCCUGCCAAGCUCCGACGAGUCAUCGAAUUCAUUAAGGAGAACUUCAAAGCUUGGACGAAAAUACGGCAGGAUAUGGAGGACUUCAUGGAGAAUCCGUGACGUGGGUCUCAGCGCGAAAAGUGGCAUCUCAUACGAUGUCGCCGAUCUCUUCGAACACAUCAAAAUCCAGGCGAGUCAUUGUUGCUUCUGCACAGAGCUCCUUCACUGCAGCUGCUGCAGGAUUAUCUUAGAACACGUCAAUAUUACCAAAAUAAAAAUUUUUACAUUGUCA
Dermacentor andersoni is the source of this 363-nucleotide non-coding RNA. The record is from RefSeq and is a predicted model, not a curated record. NCBI's taxonomy places the organism in Eukaryota, Metazoa, Arthropoda, Arachnida, Ixodida, Ixodidae.